This 253-nucleotide ribosomal RNA is filed under the name uncultured bacterium. RNAcentral's name for it is "partial 16S ribosomal RNA". It matches the Rfam family "Bacterial small subunit ribosomal RNA", at positions 524 to 776 of the family's 1533-position model. The record is from RNAcentral.
UACAGAGGUCCCAAGCGUUGUUCGGAUUCAUUGGGCGUAAAGGGUGCGUAGGUGGCGCUGUAAGUCAGGUGUGAAAUUUCGGAGCUCAACUUCGAAACUGCAUUUGAUACUGCGGUGCUUGAGGACUGGAGAGGAGACUGGAAUUUACGGUGUAGCAGUGAAAUGCGUAGAGAUCGUAAGGAAGACCAGUGGCGAAGGCGGGUCUCUGGACAGUUCCUGACACUGAGGCACGAAGGCCAGGGGAGCAAACGGG